GACGAACGCUGGCGGCGUGCCUAAUACAUGCAAGUAGAACGCUGAAGAGAGGAGCUUGCUCUUCUGGGAUGAGUUGCGGACGGGUGAGUAACUCGUAGGUAACCUGCCUUGUAGCGGGGGAUAACUAUUGGAAACGAUAGCUAAUACCGCAUAACAAUUGAUGACACAUUUCAUUUAUUUGAAAGGGGCAAUUUCUCCACUUCAAGAUCGACCUGCGUUGUAUUAGCUAGUAGGUGGGGUAAGAGGUCAACUAGGCGAGGCGACAUAACCGACCGGAGAGGGGAAGAGGCCUAGCUGGGAUGGAGACACGGCCCAGAAUCCUGCGGGAGGCAGCAGUAGGGAAUCUUCGGCGAAGGGGGCAAUGCUGAACGAGCGACGCCGCGUGAGAGAAGAAGGGUUUCGGGUCGUGAAGGUCUGUUGUAAGUCAGGAACGGGUGUGAGAGUUGAAAGUUCACACUGUGACGGUAGCGGAACAGAAAGGGACGGCUAACUACGUG
This 497-nucleotide ribosomal RNA is filed under the name uncultured bacterium. RNAcentral's name for it is "partial 16S ribosomal RNA". It matches the Rfam family "Bacterial small subunit ribosomal RNA", at positions 28 to 507 of the family's 1533-position model. The record is from RNAcentral.